AGUAUAUGGGUUAGGACUAGUCGAGCACGGUUUGACUUCCACUCUAGGUAUAUGUGCUAGAGCAAAAGACUGACUAGACCCUAAGUAUAUGUGUUAGGGUUAGUCGGAUGAACUCUAAGUAUAUAUGUUAGAGUUCGAAUAAAGUUGAUAUCAUUUGACUGAAUUCUAAGUAUAUGGCUUAGAACUCUGUCGAUUUGGAGAUGUUUCGCCUUAGUUAUAUGUGCCAAGGCGAUUGACAUAGCCCUAAGUAUAUGUAUUAGGGGUAGUCGAUAUUUAAUUUUUACUCUAGGUAUAUGUGCCAGAGUAAAAAAAGGUUCACGAUGAGAUUUGGGUAUUGGUUCAUGAGAUUUGAGUAUUGGCUCAUGAGAUUUGGUUCAUGAAUUUGGAUAUGGUUCAUGAAUUUGGUGUAUGGACUUGGUUCAUGAACUUGGAUAUGGUUCAUGGAUUUGGUGUAUGGAUUUGGUUCAUGGUUCAAGGAAUUUGGGUUUAGUUUAACGACUUUUCGGUCGUUUGGAUUUGGGUUUAGUUUAACGACUUUUCGGUCGUUUGAAAUUUGGGUUUAGUUUAACGACUUUUCGGUCGUUUGAAAUUUGGGUUUAGUUUAACGACUUUUCGGUCGUUUGAAUUGGAGAGGCUCUGGAUUUUGGGGUUUUAUUUGUAGACUUAAGGUUUUGGGAUUUAUUUGUAGACUUUAGGUUUUAGGAUUUAUUUAUGGACUUUAGGUUUUGGGAUUUAUUUAUGGACUUUGGUUUUGGGAUUUAUUUGUGGACUUUGGGUUUUGGGAUUUAUUUGUGGACUUUGGUUUUGGGUU
RNAcentral lists this long non-coding RNA (811 nucleotides) under Ananas comosus (pineapple). Its description in RNAcentral is "long non-coding RNA (ACOM_LNC003366)". The record is from RNAcentral. Lineage: Eukaryota; Viridiplantae; Streptophyta; Magnoliopsida; Poales; Bromeliaceae.